Pseudonaja textilis is the source of this 228-nucleotide non-coding RNA. NCBI's taxonomy places the organism in Eukaryota, Metazoa, Chordata, Lepidosauria, Squamata, Elapidae. The record is from RefSeq and is a predicted model, not a curated record.
CCCAAGUAUUUAUGCAGGAGGAUUCAUAAGUAUUACUUCUGCUAAUAUUUAAGAGCAAGAUUGAAUAUAAGUGCUAUUUAAUGUGAAAUAUACUAUUAAUCCUCUAACCAAUUAAAGCUAUACUAUGCUUUUAUACUAUGACUUACCAAGAACUCUUGAAGAGUUUGGACUGUGAUGAAGACUACAGUUAUUGGCCCAACGUUCUGCACUUGAAGCAGCUUCAGGAUA